UUCCUAGGGUUGGAUUUAGACCGGCAUGACACCUUCAUUUCAAGAGAAACUUGGCCUGGAGGGACACCAGGUAACCCUGAUGACUCUGGGCUGACUUGCUCUGGAUUCACAUAGGAUCUGGAUCUGGGCCACUGGGGACUUGUGGUUCCCUCAGGGGUGGAUGGUCAGGGGAGCCUUCCAGUAGCCUACUGGCUUCUGUUGGGCCUGGUCUCCUGGCCUCUUCCUGUGUCCACUGCAGUGGGAAGAGUAUGCGUUUGGGAUGUGUUAGUUUGUGUCUCUUCUAUUGUUUGAUUGUUCACCAUGAUCCCCACAACCCCCAUGGUAAAUCUGGGGUGCUAUUUUUUUCUCCAGCCCUCAGAGUGAAACUUCUUCCUUGUCUGAGAGAUCCUUGCUGUUGCCCCAGACCUCAGGGCUCCUUCCCCAGUUCGUUGGCCCUGGUUGUUACUUGGCACUGGAUGGGAGAGGGCAUCUUGAGUUCCUGGCAUCCUGAGUGUUAUGUCUUGUUAAUAUUAGCCCUGUCACCACAGGAACUAUCCCCUUAAGACUUAUUAACAGCUGUCCUCUAGGAGAAUGGCAGAAGGGGAGUUGGCCAGUUCUGAAGCCCACAUCCCUCUGUAGGUCAAGGGACAUACUUCCUAAGGCUCUUCAAUACAGUUGUCUGGACAGAGGAUCCAAGAUGGCUGAUGAGGACCCCCCGGGAGGUGGGGCAGCCCUGGUGUUCAUAGCUCCAGCUGACUAUGGAGAGGGCAUCGCUGGAUAGAACUGAGAUGGUGCCAGGCUCCAGAGGAUCUGCUGCCCACCUGGCCUGCCCUGGCUGUUAGUUUCGCCGGACUGGAUGCCACAUGGACACAGGCCUGCGCAGUGUGGCCAGCAUCUGGUUCCAGUGUGUGGUGCCCAUGCCGCUGGCCCCUGGCCCAAUAAUGACAUGGCCCACGUUGUCCCCACGGCCGUCGCUGCUGCUCUCAGCUACUGUCACUCGGAGAGACAGGUCCUGGGGAGAAGGUGACAUGAAAGAUUGGGACCAGGAGCAGCUGAAGGGUUCUCCCUGGUUCCAAGGCUCCAAGGCCCUGUGAGGCGCGCGCGGCUCUUUGAAUCUUCCCGUCUGACUUGGAAGGAGAGACUUGUCCUAGUUACUUCCAGAUGGAUAGCCAGCUAUGAUGUGACCUCACUAAGUGCUAAAAAGUGACAGUCCCAGCAGGAUUAUAAAAAUCCAUCUCUCACUUCUCUGUCCCUAGACAUUUUUUUCUUUAGGAUUUAUUUUUGAGUUUGAAAAGAUGGGUCAGCAAUUAAAUACACUUGCUGCUCUUGCAGAAGACCUCGGUUUGAGUCUCAGCCCCUACAUGUUGACUCAGUAACUUGAGGGUAUCUGAACUCUCUUUGUGGGCAUCUGGCACACAUGUUAUGUACAGACAUACAUGCAAGCAAAGUACCCAUACUUGUAAAAUAAUAAAAACCUUAAAAAGA
Long non-coding RNA from Mastomys coucha (southern multimammate mouse), 1464 nucleotides. RefSeq lists it as uncharacterized. Lineage: Eukaryota; Metazoa; Chordata; Mammalia; Rodentia; Muridae. The transcript has 2 exons. The record is from RefSeq and is a predicted model, not a curated record.